CCUAGGGAGGCUGCAGUGGGGAAUAUUGGACAAUGGGCGAAAGCCUGAUCCAGCCAUGCCGCGUGUGUGAAGAAGGCCUUCGGGUUGUAAAGCACUUUCAGUGGGGAAGAAAGCCUUGGGGCUAAUACCCUCGAGGAAGGACAUCACCCACAGAAGAAGCACCGGCUAACUCCGUGCCAGCAGCCGCGGUAAUACGGAGGGUGCGAGCGUUAAUCGGAAUUACUGGGCGUAAAGCGCGCGUAGGCGGUCUGAUAAGCCGGCUGUGAAAGCCCCGGGCUCAACCUGGGAACGGCAUCCGGAACUGUCAGGCUAGAGUGCAGGAGAGGAAGGUAGAAUUCCCGGUGUAGCGGUGAAAUGCGUAGAGAUCGGGAGGAAUACCAGUGGCGAAGGCGGCCUUCUGGACUGACACUGACGCUGAGGUGCGAAAGCGUGGGUAGCAAACAGGAUUAGAUACCCCGGUAGUC
This 464-nucleotide ribosomal RNA is filed under the name Vreelandella stevensii. RNAcentral's name for it is "partial 16S ribosomal RNA". It matches the Rfam family "Bacterial small subunit ribosomal RNA", at positions 338 to 795 of the family's 1533-position model. The record is from RNAcentral. Lineage: Bacteria; Pseudomonadati; Pseudomonadota; Gammaproteobacteria; Oceanospirillales; Halomonadaceae.